AGUCACUAAGUACACGCAUGUCUCCAUAAAUGUAUAAAAUAAUAUUAAAAUUUGAAGCACAACAUGCGGUUUGUUACAGUUCCCAGACAAUGUUAGACAUAUUCCUUGGUAUAGAUAAAGAUGGCUUCCCAGCACUCGGGUAUACUACAGCAAGUGGAGAAUUUUGAGAUUCUUCCGGAAGCAGUUACUUUACAAAAUGAGGGUGAUGAUGUACAUAUUGAAAAGGCUGUUGAGGCUAUGAUGCAACUUUCUCCAGUACAAAUACAACAAGAGUACUAUGAAAAUUUGGGCGACUGCGACUGGGUGAAGUAUGAGAAAAGUAAUAGAAACUAUUUGCUACAAAAUGUAGCAUUUGCACUUUUCGGUGGUCCCAGCUAUGAAGGUGAACUGUCAGAAGUUGAGGACAAUCAGCACGCACAUCUUGAAGGAUAUACCUCAAGACAAAAGGAACAAGUCAUGAGAGUAUAUGAAAAAUUAUGUGAACAAAGUAAAUAUUCCCACAAUGACGAUGAUAUAGUAAUGUCAGUGCUUCUGAUUGUGUGCGCUAAACCAAAACCUCUGAAGUUCUAUCAAAUACAACCGUCAAACUACUGGUUGGACUUGCAUGAGAAAACUGACAGUGAUAUAUGGUGUACCGCGGUAUUCAGGGUCAGAAAAUGCAUACCUACUACUGUUGGAAUGAAGUCUUGCCGAGUCUACAUCGACGAGAAUGCCCGAGUAUAUCAUGACUGGGACUCGUACCUAACAAACAAUACUCUGCCAAAAUGUGUCAUUAUUGUGCCUGAAAAUGGAGAGUACACUGGAACACUUAUAGAGGGAGAAGAAACUUUCGCAGUAAAAUUGACCGUGGCACCUUCUCCGACGCUCGGUAUAAAGGCGCGGGUGCUAAGCACAGUCGACACGGCUAGCACAGUGGCUUCUAUCGGGGCUAUUGGAGUUAUCGGGGUGGCAGCUUUCACUCCAGUAGCGCCGGUUGUACUGGUGGGUGCGGCGGCUGCUACGGUAGCCACUGGGGUCUACGGCCUUGUACGGUCCUCUCUUCACUUACAUGAUAGAAGUGUUCAUGAACAGACCAUCAGUCCGACAGACGCUGAAGCUCGAGGUAGUUGGUUGAACAUCGCGGCGUCGAGUGUAGGCCUGGCCGCCGGCGCCGCUAGCUCGCUCCUUUCCCGUUCUGCUGCCGCCGGUACCAAUAUGACAAAGACAGGACAAGCGCUAGCUGUGUCUGUGGAAGUAUUACGUCACGCAAACAUGGUCACUGGUGGCGCGGGCGUCGUCAACAGUCUCCUUCAUAUUAUACUGAAGUACCGCAAACAUGGAGAGAAGCCGACUAAGUUAGAGUUGUUCCAAUUCGCAUCGGCGACUUUGUUCUUCUGUCACGCCGUAGUGUCAAACCGAACGGCACAGAGUAUUAUAGAGGAUGCUCAGGCUAAAGCGAUCAACGAGUACCGGGCCACUCUUAGGAGCAAUAGACACAGAAAAAUGUUCGACAAGAUCAGCGCUGAAUCGAGAAGGAUACAAGGUGCCAUACAAGGCAACACUGAAGUCAUUAGAGGCAUUCAGAACAUCAUCGACAAAGACCAGUACUUUGCCGACGUGCUCCGAAUCAACAAAGAUGUCAACCAACACAAGCUCAGAAUAUCCAUGACUUCUGAUGGUCAGGUUAACUUGAACUCCCAGCACAAAUUCAACCCUGCAGAGCUCUAUAACCUUGGUAAGGAAGGAAGGGCGCAACUGUUCAGUUCACUUGGACCUGCCUCUGUCAACACAAGUAAUGUACCAACAAGGAUUGUGCCCACAACGAAUGCCGUGUCCGGUUACAUAGAAGGCGAGGAAGAAACAACACUAGUAGGAAUUCACCCCGGUGAAAUACUAAGAAUUGGAUCACUACUAGUGAGAGUAAGUGCGUCUGGCGCCGAAAAUGUAGCGCUUAUGUUAGAAAAUUUAAGCCAAGAUGUGUACGCCAACUUGAUGACGAUAUCCUUCAAUGUGUUAUCCAAACUCCUUCCUGAAGACAUUGCCAGGCUGAGGCUGUUGAGUCCCGAAGAAGAUCUAAUCGUCCAAAUAGUAAAGUUUGUAUUCAACUAUAUGAAGCAUGAGAGGCCACUGGGCGACCCGAGCAGAGAUAACGACAAUGGCAUCGUAAUAGUGCUAAAAGAGUUCUUCCAAGAAGGUGUUGUUCGUCAAGAAACCAUUUUAUAUUUGAAAGAUCGUUUGUUAGGCUGGGUCGACGGUGAAAUGGAUCGCAGAAGGCUAGAAUUUCCGAACAAAAAGUCAAUUGUAUGUGAAAGUUGUAGGGGUAUAAGAUAUGCUUAAGAAUUAAUAUUUUUGAGAUAAUUUUUUUUAUUGUCUUGUUCUACGAAAAUACUGUUUCAUAUUUUCUGUGUACUAAAACUAGGUAAAUAUUUAUUCAGUGGCUUAAAACAUAAUAUAUCAUAUUUACCCACUGCGAAAAGGGUACAUCUAUUACUAUUAAAAUUGUAGAAAGCUUAACCAAAUAGCCCAUUGAAGGGAUUUUAGAUUUUAGGCACUCAAUCAGAUCUUGCUAAGAGUACUAUUUUUCUAUUAUUUAAUUCAAUAAGACGAUCUGGAUAAAUGACAAAAUUAAAAUAAUGUCUUCAUAACUUAACCUACAGACUGGUAUAAUGCCAUUAUUGUCCUUAAAAGUAUAUUAUUAAACACAAUCUGUGUAAUUAAACUUCGAUUAUACACUUAUAUAAUAUUUACCUUUUAUAAGUGUUUUUGAACAUUGCACAUAAUUUACAAAUAAAAUCACUUUUAAAAACAUUAAAAAUCAGACAUAUCAGAAAAGUCCAAAUAUUGUACAUUAGGUAUAAGUACUCAUAAGGCUUAAUUUGUAUUGCUUUUUAAUAAAAUAUCGCAGUACCAAGUGAAAGUUAAAGAUAUUUAUAUAAACAUGUGAUAGAUUAUGCACUGUGAUAACAAAACUGAUUGCUUAUUAGGAUUUACGAAAUAUUACUGCACAAGAUUAUAGUGCCUUUUGAAUUAAAAUCUCAAGAAAUGUGUACUUAAAUACAGACAAUGUGAUUAGAUAGGGAUAUUACUGAAAAUUAUAGAUGCCACGGAAAAUCACUGUAAAAAAAAUAUAAAAUCGUAUAUUGUUGGAGAGUUUGCCUACCUAAGUUCUAUUUUAUCACAAAAAUAAAAUAGUCACAACAGAGAAACUCACAGCUAGAUAGUACCAUAGUACCUUCCUAUCCAGAUUUAUCACUUUGGCUGUAAGAUGUACACAAAUAUUAUGCAUAUAGAAUAAUAAAUAAAAAGAAACAAAUAAUGUGGUGUUGUUAUAAUAAACUAUCUGAUUUAGCGAU
RNAcentral lists this unclassified non-coding RNA (3332 nucleotides) under Helicoverpa zea (corn earworm). RNAcentral describes it as "uncharacterized LOC124633517, transcript variant X3". Lineage: Eukaryota; Metazoa; Arthropoda; Insecta; Lepidoptera; Noctuidae. The record is from RNAcentral.